RNAcentral lists this ribosomal RNA (1532 nucleotides) under Streptomyces mutabilis. Lineage: Bacteria; Bacillati; Actinomycetota; Actinomycetes; Kitasatosporales; Streptomycetaceae. The record is from RNAcentral.
GCCAGACCUCAUUCGGGCAGGUCACGGGCGUGCGGCGGGUCGCUUCGGAAAAGUUGCCGCGGUGCGAGGGACGCGCGUGUGAACGGGUGACCGGUGCCUCCGAACGGACCCGCCCCGGCUUCCCGGCGAGGUUUGACGCCGGGAAGCCGGGGCGGGCCGUCGGCCCACGCUCGGUCAGUCCACGUUCACCGCGCUCCACGCCGCGCCCACCGCUGCGUACUCGGUGCUGUCGGCGCCGUACAGGUCCUUCGCCGCGUCGAGGGUGGCCAUGCGGGCGCCCGCGUAGUCGGUGGAGGAGGUCAUGUAGACCGUCAGCGCCCGGUACCAGAUGUCGCCCAGCUUCUCCCGGCCGAUCCCAAAGACGGUGGAGCCGUCGCAGGUGGGGGAGUCGUAGCUCACGCCGCCCACGUUCUUCGCGCCGCUGCCCUCGGCCAGCAGGUAGGCGAAGUGGUUGGCGAUCCCGGAGGAGUAGUGGACGUCGAGGUCGCCCGCCGCGGUGCUCCAGCAGUCGGCCGAACUGCCGUCCCGGCUCGGCCUGUCCAUGUGGCGCAGGGCGUCGCGGCCGAAGCCGGAUCGGACGACCUUCUCGCCGAUCAGGUAGUCACCGGGGUCGGCGGAGUUGUCCGCGUGCCACUCCACCAGCGCGCCGAAGAUGUCGGACGUCGCCUCGUUCAGGCCGCCGGACUCGCCCGAGUACGUCAGCGCCGCCGUAGACGACGUCACCCCGUGCGUCAUCUCGUGCGCGGCGACGUCCAGCGAGACCAGCGGACCGAAGGUCGUCCCGUCACCGUCGCCGUACGUCAUGCAGAAGCAGCCGUCGUCCCAGAAGGCGUUGUUGUACCGGGUGCCGUAGUGCACGCGGUUGUACGAGCCCUUGCCGUCGCCGGCGAUGCCGCUGCGGCCGUGGACGUCCUCGUAGUAGUCCCAGGUGACGUCCGUGCCGUACUGCGCGUCCACGGCGGCCGAGGCGCGGUCGUCCGCCGUCCCCGAGCCCCAGUGGUUGUCGGCGUCGGUGAACACCGUGGAGGGGGCCCGGACCAGGCAGACGCCGAGGAAGCACAGGUCGGUCCGGUUCCCGGCGUCACCGGUGUAGGUGUCGCCGCGCGUCGGGUCCUUCAGCUGGUACGACGCCCCGGACUGUGUGGUCGUAAGCGGCACCGUCCCGCCGUACAGCGACUUGCCGUCGCCCUCGGCCGCCGACUCGAGGGCGUCCCAGGCGUCGAUCCGGGCGCCCGUGCCCGCGUCGGUCAGCACCGUGCGCGCGACCGGGUUGCCGAGGGAGUCCAGCGCGACCGCGUUCGUCCGCCAGGCCAGCUUCGGGGCGCCGUGCAGGGCGUCGACGACCAGCUCGGGCUCGGCGGUGAGCCGCUUCAGCAACUCGCCCGGGUUGGCGGCGCGCAGUGCGUUCGCGGCGAGGCCGGCGGCCCUGGGGGCCGACAGCUCCGGGGUGACGGUGGGCAGGGAGACGGCCGCCCUCGUCGCGCGGUCGGCUCCCCGGUACUCGCCGUCGGGGGUGAGGUGGACGACGAAGU